GAUGAACGCUGGCGGCGUGCCUAAUACAUGCAAGUCGAGCGAACAGAUAAGGAGCUUGCUCCUUUGACGUUAGCGGCGGACGGGUGAGUAACACGUGGGUAACCUACCUAUAAGACUGGAAUAACUCCGGGAAACCGGGGCUAAUGCCGGAUAACAUUUAGAACCGCAUGGUUCUAAAGUGAAAGAUGGUUUUGCUAUCACUUAUAGAUGGACCCGCGCCGUAUUAGCUAGUUGGUAAGGUAACGGCUUACCAAGGCAACGAUACGUAGCCGACCUGAGAGGGUGAUCGGCCACACUGGAACUGAGACACGGUCCAGACUCCUACGGGAGGCAGCAGUAGGGAAUCUUCCGCAAUGGGAGAAAGCCUGACGGAGCAACGCCGCGUGAGUGAUGAAGGUCUUAGGAUCGUAAAACUCUGUUAUUAGGGAAGAACAAAUGUGUAAGUAACUGUGCACGUCUUGACGGUACCUAAUCAGAAAGCCACGGCUAACUACGUG
This 497-nucleotide ribosomal RNA is filed under the name uncultured bacterium. Its description in RNAcentral is "partial 16S ribosomal RNA". It matches the Rfam family "Bacterial small subunit ribosomal RNA", at positions 28 to 507 of the family's 1533-position model. The record is from RNAcentral.